Podarcis lilfordi (Lilford's wall lizard) is the source of this 70-nucleotide non-coding RNA. The record is from the annotation of a GenBank genome assembly. NCBI's taxonomy places the organism in Eukaryota, Metazoa, Chordata, Lepidosauria, Squamata, Lacertidae.
GGAUUGCUCAUGUGGUUAGAGCACGGUGCUGAUAACACCAGGGUUGCAGGUUCAAUUCCCGUAUGGGACA